GAUGAAGAACGUAGCGAAAUGCGAUAAGUAAUGUGAAUUGCAGAAUUCAGUGUAUCAUCGAAUCUUUGAACGCACAUUGCGCCCGCUAGUAUUCUGGCGGGCAUGCCUGUCCGAGCGUCAUUUCAACCCUCAAGCCCCCGGGCUUGGUGUUGGGGAUUGGCGAGCCUCCGCGCCCGCCGUCCCCUAAAUCUAGUGGCGGUCUCGCUGUAGCUUCCUCUGCGUAGUAGCACACCUCGCACUGGGAAACAGCGCGGCCACGCCGUUAAACCCCCAACUUCUGAACGUUUGACCUCGGAUCAGGUAGGAAUACCCGCUGAACUUAAGCAUAUCAAUAAGCGGAGGA
RNAcentral lists this unclassified non-coding RNA (343 nucleotides) under soil metagenome. RNAcentral describes it as "partial contains 5.8S ribosomal RNA, internal transcribed spacer 2, and large subunit ribosomal RNA". The stretch from base 1 to 120 matches the Rfam family "5.8S ribosomal RNA", at positions 35 to 154 of the family's 154-position model. The record is from RNAcentral.